This 2840-nucleotide long non-coding RNA is filed under the name Vigna radiata. Its description in RNAcentral is "long non-coding RNA (VRAD_LNC009026)". The record is from RNAcentral. Lineage: Eukaryota; Viridiplantae; Streptophyta; Magnoliopsida; Fabales; Fabaceae.
UUAGAGUAUACUAGAGACAAUUAGCAUUACAUUCAUCCUUAAGCAGUACAAGAAUUUAGGAACUUGGAUAAAUAUAGUUCUCCUAAAAAGGAUAGGAAUUUAAAACUUUAAACAUAACAAAUAAAGUUCUUCAAAAUAUCUAAGACUAAGAAAAGUAAAGUCUAAUGAACUAGACAGCGACAUUUCCAUCUCCAUUAAGAGUUGUUCCCAAGGUAUCCUCCACGCCAUCUGCUCUCAUCCAAGUGGAUGAUCAUCGCAAGGAAAAUAGAAGCAAACAUGGCACAAACACAAGCAAAUGCAAGGGUGAGCUAAUUAUAUCAAAAGCAUGCAAAUACAUCAACAUAUACAUAUCAGAUUUAACUUAAGUAAAAUACAUACAAGUAAGACAAUUUAUAACAUAGACCCUAGCAUGUUAUAUUCUAGACUUGACUCGUCCAGACUUUAGAAUGAUAGUCGAGUUAUGACGGGUCGUGCACCCGUGGUGGCUUGUGAUACUUAGGCUCCCCCGCCUUGGGCUCCCCCGCCCUGCCACACUCACGAGGUUAGUCUGUUCCGCGUCCUGGAGCAUGAUGGAAGCCUCCAAGAUUAAGACCUCCUGCUACUCCUCACCACAUGGUUCAACCCUCUCUACGUGAGAGGAAAGACCAUUGGAGCGUCAAGAAGACCCCCAAGACUGAGCUCCUACUUUCAUUCUAAAACACUAAGAAUCUCACUGAAAGAUUUCACAAUUAAACCACCACCCUUGAAACCAUGUUUAUUUCUUUCCCAAUUCAUAUACCUUUAUGAUCACAUACUUUUGAUACCACCAUAACCAUUUAUAGUGUCGUGCAAUCAACUUUAAAUCACGCUUCAUAAGAAAUCAACAAUAUCGUACUUACAUAACUAAACGGAAACUCGAAUGUAAUAAACAUUCUUAAUACAAUAACAAAACAAUUAAUAUUAUUAAACUAGUGACAAGUCAACCACAACCUCCAAAAAUAGUCAACCAAAAUAAGAUGUAAGAGGUAUAUAUACUACAUACAACCCCUUUCUAAUAACUAACACCCAAAACUACUAAGAUAAAUUAAAUAAUAUAUAUAUAUAACCUAAGUGGACCCCUCCUCCCCUUUUCUCCAACAACUUUUACGUACAUCACCAACCCUUACUCUUACUUUUCUUUUCCUAUGUGGGACCUACACCAUUCCAUGGCUAUAAUAUAAAAUAUUAAAAUAAACACUUCCUAUUUCUACUAUUCACGUGGAAACCAAACCUUUAACCGUAGAAAAGUUAACUUUCUUCUCCUAUUUUUCUCUCUUCAACUACUCUCUCUUUCUUCAUUUUAUUUUUACUCACUAAACAAUUACUCUCACCUCAUGAAAGAUACCCUCACUUCUCUCACCUAAUCCUUCACGCACACACCUUUAUUAUAUAUUCCCUCACAACCCCAUUCUAUCUUCCUCUGCAACUAUUUAUAUCUUCUACUACACCCAAUUCUAACUUAUAUUAUUUUUAUUAUUCAAUAACUCCAAGGUGGGACCAUGCCUUCUCUCUCCUUUUUUUUUAUUUAUUCAUAAUAUAUACACUUUUCUUACUCCUUUCUCACUAAAACAACGCUCACAAUGUGCCCAUGCACAACCUCCAUUUUCAAUUUAUGAUUUUCUCACUCAAUAUUCUACUUCACAUACACAAGUAAUAAUUAAACCAUCCCCUCCCCUGCAGAUCACUCUUGCCUCUCCAUCACAUGCCGAAGCUUCACCCCUUUCUCUCAUUUAUUUCGGUCAUACACACACAACCCCAAAUAACUAUUACAUUCACUCUCUUUUUAUUUAAUCUUCUACUGCAACUCCAACUCUAUCUACUGUUUUCCCUCCCCUUAGAUUCACCUAGGUUUCUUCUCUAGACAACUUCAUUCUCUAUUCCCCUAUGUUCACAUUCAACAAUACUAUUGUGUUGUCUUAGGUUCGUAAAACCCCUGCACAAACCUUCUUCACAGCAUAUUCUUCUUCAUGCAACUACUUCAUAAUUUGAACUCUUCUUCACAAUAAACCUACAACCCUUUCACCCGUUCUUGCUCUAUUCUACUUGUCUCUAAUUCGUUCCUCCCAUUUUGCUACUUCCAUGAACCCUUCUCAUUGUGCAUCCAGGACGUCAAACAACCCCAUUCAAUACAUAUUUCACAAGCUGAAAAUACACGAGCAGAGCACGAAUACAUCCAUACAUAUAUAUAUAUAUAUAUAUAUAUAUAUAUAUAUAUAUAUAUAUAUAUAUAAACAGCAAAUCAUCGUACACAACAAUAAUUCUAGGUUACUCCCCUUACACAUAUACCCAUUCACAUAAUUUACAUGUAUAAUUACAGUAUCAUAACGCAUAGCACUCAAACACAAAAUGUGACAUUUAAGACAAACAAAAAUACUGUUUCAAAAAUCAACUCACACACGUAUCAAACAAACCAUUUAAAUAUAUAAUCAGCUCCCCUUACCUCUAUGAUCUUCACAGUACAGCUCAAUAGAAAAAUUCCCUAAUCGUACCUCCACACAGAGGCAACUCCACAGUAUCUAUAAGCCACCAAAAUGGUGUAGAGUAAAGCCCUUAGAGCUUGAAAAGAUAAGGAAAAAGAGUAAAACCCUAGGGUGCAGAGAAUGGGAAAAUUACCUUAUCAAUUGAGAUAUGCGAAACUAAUCGGAGGAAUUGAAAGCCCUCGACUUUGGGAACGUAGGAGCACCACCUAUUUGACAAAGCAACGGUGGAAAUUUGAGAAAGGGGUACAGAGAAAGUGAAGCAAGGUUAGAGAGAAGGUAAAGAAAAUAAGAAAUUUGAGUUCUAGAGAGAGAAGGGGGUUUGGCUAAUGAAAUCUGAUUUUC